This 253-nucleotide ribosomal RNA is filed under the name uncultured bacterium. RNAcentral describes it as "partial 16S ribosomal RNA". It matches the Rfam family "Bacterial small subunit ribosomal RNA", at positions 524 to 776 of the family's 1533-position model. The record is from RNAcentral.
UACGGGGGGUGCGAGCGUUGUCCGGAAUCACUGGGCGUAAAGGGCGCGUAGGUGGUUUGAUAAGGGUGUGGUGAAAGUCCGGGGCUCAACCCCGGAUCUGCCGUGCCGACUGUCAAACUCGAGGACUGUAGAGGCAGACGGAAUUCCGGGUGUAGCGGUGGAAUGCGUAGAGAUCCGGAGGAAGACCAGUGGCGAAGGCGGCUUCUUGGCCUGUUCUUGACGCUGAGGCGCGAAAGCUGGGGGAGCAAACGGG